Molecule: long non-coding RNA, 869 nt
Organism: Beta vulgaris subsp. vulgaris (sugar beet)
Lineage: Eukaryota; Viridiplantae; Streptophyta; Magnoliopsida; Caryophyllales; Amaranthaceae
Exons: 2
Source: RefSeq, a predicted model, not a curated record
GGCUUUUUUUUCCAAAAAAAUUUGAAAUGAAUUCGCGGGCUUCAAAUGUUAAGUGGGCUAGCUAGGGUUCUCACAAUGCAAUUUGCUCUCCCUCAUUCUCUCUCCUCUCUCGCCCUCCUCCCUUCUCCUCCUUCUCUUUCACCCUCCGGCUGCAGCAACAUUUUACAGACGAGAUCGUCAUCCGUCUUCCUUGUUCGUCCUCCUUGUUCAUCGUUCGUUCGUCCUCCUCGUUCGUCGUUCGUUCGUCCUCCUCGUUCGUCGUUCGUUCGUCCUCCUCGUUCGUCGUUCGUUCGUCCUCCUCGUUCGUAUUUCAUUCCUCUUCCUCAUCAUCUUCCUCUUCUCCGGUGAUGAGCAGCGGAAGGUCUAGACAUGAUGUUGUUGGUGAUCAAAACAUCACGAGAUCGAAGAGGCUUGAACUCUGAAAUUACAUAUGUAGCAUAAUGGUAUACGUUAAGGCAUCUCGCGGAAGGAAGGAUGGAGAUCCAACUGCUGGAAAAUGACAAUUAGUUUGGUUAAGCAUCUAUGUUACUUAAUGCUUAUUCUCUAGAAGAAGGUGUAAAGCGCUAUGGCCGUAGUCCCUGUUCAAGGAAGUCAAAUUCAUGAAGAAUUGAAUCUGUAGUAAAGUGUAAGCAUGGCUGCAGAUUUCAGGGAAUGCAGAAGAAAACUGAUAAGCUAUAGUUUGUUGUUUCUCGGAAUAGGAUGGAGAUUUCACUUUGUAAGGGCCUUAAAUUCUGAAGGUUGAUUAUUCUUCUCUCUUUUGUGUGCUUGUAUUUUUAGUUAUUGUCUUCUUCUUCCACUUCUCUGUUUAUAUUGUUGUCACUCUCUCGAGUUUAAGGUCAAUCCUUCGCAUAGUUAUCUGCCUUUUCUCU